ACGCUCGACACCUACGGGAGGCAGCAGUGGGAAUAUUGCACAAUGGGGGAAACCCUGAUGCAGCGACGCCGCGUGAAGGAAGAAGUAUUUCGGUAUGUAAACUUCUAUCAGCAGGGAAGAAAAUGACGGUACCUGACUAAGAAGCCCCGGCUAACUACGUACCAGCAGCCGCGGUAAUCUGAGCGGGCUGGCAAGGC
RNAcentral lists this ribosomal RNA (197 nucleotides) under uncultured bacterium. RNAcentral's name for it is "partial 16S ribosomal RNA". It matches the Rfam family "Bacterial small subunit ribosomal RNA", at positions 328 to 539 of the family's 1533-position model. The record is from RNAcentral.